RNAcentral lists this ribosomal RNA (218 nucleotides) under uncultured bacterium. RNAcentral describes it as "partial 16S ribosomal RNA". It matches the Rfam family "Bacterial small subunit ribosomal RNA", at positions 118 to 318 of the family's 1533-position model. The record is from RNAcentral.
UGGGUAACCUGCCUCAAAGAGGGGAAUAGCCUCCCGAAAGGGAGAUUAAUACCGCAUAAUAUGUUUUGAUCGCAUGAUCAAAACAUCAAAGGAUACUUCUUCGUGAGAAGAAGCUUCCACUUUGAGAUGGACCCGCGGCGCAUUAGCUAGUUGGAGAGGUAACGCUCACCAAGGCAACGAUGCGUAGCCGACUGAGAGGGUGAUCGGCCACAUUGGAA